Molecule: ribosomal RNA, 1511 nt
Filed under: Klebsiella pneumoniae IS39
Lineage: Bacteria; Pseudomonadati; Pseudomonadota; Gammaproteobacteria; Enterobacterales; Enterobacteriaceae
Description: SSU rRNA
Rfam family: Bacterial small subunit ribosomal RNA
Source: RNAcentral
UUAAAUUGAAGAGUUUGAUCAUGGCUCAGAUUGAACGCUGGCGGCAGGCCUAACACAUGCAAGUCGAGCGGUAGCACAGAGAGCUUGCUCUCGGGUGACGAGCGGCGGACGGGUGAGUAAUGUCUGGGAAACUGCCUGAUGGAGGGGGAUAACUACUGGAAACGGUAGCUAAUACCGCAUAAUGUCGCAAGACCAAAGUGGGGGACCUUCGGGCCUCAUGCCAUCAGAUGUGCCCAGAUGGGAUUAGCUAGUAGGUGGGGUAACGGCUCACCUAGGCGACGAUCCCUAGCUGGUCUGAGAGGAUGACCAGCCACACUGGAACUGAGACACGGUCCAGACUCCUACGGGAGGCAGCAGUGGGGAAUAUUGCACAAUGGGCGCAAGCCUGAUGCAGCCAUGCCGCGUGUGUGAAGAAGGCCUUCGGGUUGUAAAGCACUUUCAGCGGGGAGGAAGGCGGUGAGGUUAAUAACCUCAUCGAUUGACGUUACCCGCAGAAGAAGCACCGGCUAACUCCGUGCCAGCAGCCGCGGUAAUACGGAGGGUGCAAGCGUUAAUCGGAAUUACUGGGCGUAAAGCGCACGCAGGCGGUCUGUCAAGUCGGAUGUGAAAUCCCCGGGCUUAACCUGGGAACUGCAUUCGAAACUGGCAGGCUAGAGUCUUGUAGAGGGGGGUAGAAUUCCAGGUGUAGCGGUGAAAUGCGUAGAGAUCUGGAGGAAUACCGGUGGCGAAGGCGGCCCCCUGGACAAAGACUGACGCUCAGGUGCGAAAGCGUGGGGAGCAAACAGGAUUAGAUACCCUGGUAGUCCACGCCGUAAACGAUGUCGAUUUGGAGGUUGUGCCCUUGAGGCGUGGCUUCCGGAGCUAACGCGUUAAAUCGACCGCCUGGGGAGUACGGCCGCAAGGUUAAAACUCAAAUGAAUUGACGGGGGCCCGCACAAGCGGUGGAGCAUGUGGUUUAAUUCGAUGCAACGCGAAGAACCUUACCUGGUCUUGACAUCCACAGAACUUUCCAGAGAUGGAUUGGUGCCUUCGGGAACUGUGAGACAGGUGCUGCAUGGCUGUCGUCAGCUCGUGUUGUGAAAUGUUGGGUUAAGUCCCGCAACGAGCGCAACCCUUAUCCUUUGUUGCCAGCGGUCCGGCCGGGAACUCAAAGGAGACUGCCAGUGAUAAACUGGAGGAAGGUGGGGAUGACGUCAAGUCAUCAUGGCCCUUACGACCAGGGCUACACACGUGCUACAAUGGCAUAUACAAAGAGAAGCGACCUCGCGAGAGCAAGCGGACCUCAUAAAGUAUGUCGUAGUCCGGAUUGGAGUCUGCAACUCGACUCCAUGAAGUCGGAAUCGCUAGUAAUCGUAGAUCAGAAUGCUACGGUGAAUACGUUCCCGGGCCUUGUACACACCGCCCGUCACACCAUGGGAGUGGGUUGCAAAAGAAGUAGGUAGCUUAACCUUCGGGAGGGCGCUUACCACUUUGUGAUUCAUGACUGGGGUGAAGUCGUAACAAGGUAACCG